RNAcentral lists this long non-coding RNA (1944 nucleotides) under Pan troglodytes (chimpanzee). RNAcentral describes it as "long non-coding RNA NONPTRT012080". The record is from RNAcentral. Lineage: Eukaryota; Metazoa; Chordata; Mammalia; Primates; Hominidae.
CCAAAUGUCAUUUGUGUGGGAGCCAAGAAACCCUGCUAUGGGGCAGUGGUCAGAGACCUUUGUCGUGCUUUGAAAGGGGCUGGGCUGGGCUGGGCAGGGCAGGGCGGGUCGUGGCCCACCUGGGGCCACAGUUCAGAGCCACACUUGGGUCUUUGAGGCUGCCCACCCUCCCAGCUGCCAGCAUGGGGUUGGGGGGUGUCCACCCCCAUCAGACUGAGGAGGAAACGGACACUGUGUCACCCAGAAGCAUCCCUAUGUCACCCUGUGAGGCUGGCCUUGGACCCAGGACUCUGGGCGCCUGGUCAGCACCCCAGUGUGAACACAUCCUGCCCUGGGGCCUGGUCCCAGCAGCUCACACAGACCAGGGCUUGCCCAAAGGCAGGUAGGCAGGGCCACUGCUGACCAUGCACCUGGUGGGCCGUGAUUCUGGAACUAAUGGUCUCUGCCUGGCAGGGAGGCCGCCAGGGCCUCUGGGCUUCACCCCUCCCAACCUUCACAGGGGACCUCACCUCAGUGGGAAUGUUCUGGAGCCGGAACCCAAGGUUGGAAUCCCAGCUCCUCCCCUUUCUAGGGCAAGCUCCCAGCCUGUCUGUACUCAGUCUCCCCAACUGUCAAAUGGUAAUAAAACAGUCCUGUCCUCACUGAGUUGUUUGGAUGGGUGAGCAUCAGGUGUCUAGGGCACAGCAUGCUGUGAAGGAGUUAGGAGGGCCAGGUGAAGGAGCCAUGCAGGGCCGGGCCUCCUGGGUAAUGGGGCUAAGAGGAGAAUUCUGUAUGUGGUUCUGAGAAGGAGCAGAGUCCAGCUCUUUUGGAUGUUUGUAUUAGGAAAUUUACUAGAGACCAUGUCACUGCUCCACUCGGAAUCCUCGGGUGGCUUCCCAGUGCCCUUGACAUGGAAUCAAACUCCUCGCUUGGCCAUGCAAUCCGGGCCUGGUAUCCUGGCCCCCUCCCCAGUCCACUGUGGUUGGCUGUGCUGGCCUCGGGGAUCCCAGGCCCUCCACCCUCAUGCCCCACUGAGCACUUGCACCUGUGUCCCACCUCCAGCCCUCACCAGCUGUCCUCCAGCUCUCAUCUGUGAUGCAUCCGCCAGACCUCUGCUCCCAGCCUGCCCUCUCUAAUCUAUAAUCUCAUUUUAUUCUCUGUGUGAGCAUUCAGACUGAUGCUGCCCUGUGCCCGUGCCUGUCAUCAUCCCAGCACACGUGCAGUGUCCCAUAAAUACUGCAGAAUGACUGAGUGAUCAGACCUAGAGAGCCCCAGCCCUGGGUCCACCCUCACUGUGCCUGCACGCGGUGCCAGAGGAGGGCCUGGCCAGGGGUUUGUGGCAUCAUCAUCCCCUGGAACUAUCCCCUGAUGAUGCUGUCCUGGAAGACAGCUGCCUGCCUGGCUGCCGGGAACACAGUGGUGAUCAAGCCUGCUCAGGUGACCCCACUCACAGCCUUGAAGUUUGCAGAGCUGACAUUAAAGGCCGGCAUUCCCAAAGGUGUGGUUAACGUCCUCCCAGGAUCUGGUAAGAGCCAUUGUCGGGGGCAGGGCUAGGGCUUCUGGCAGCUGGAGAUGCCACUGGGCAGAGCAGGCCCUACUGGAUAGUGGCGUGAGGGCAGAGUAGCCUGGGGAGAGCCCAGGCGGGGGCCAGCCUGUGACAAAGGAGGCCCCUCCCAUGGGGGAGGGCACCCGCACCUGGAAGGGCUUUCGUCUUCAGAUGCCCCAGCUGAAUGUAUUCCAGUGUGUGUGUGUGUGUGUGUGUGUGUGUGUGUGUGUGUGUGUGUGUGUGUGUGUCCGCGCGCCCUGGAAUAAACUUGUUACUUGGGGAUUUUCUGCCCUUGGAAGUUUGAGAGAAUUUUUCUUUAGAACAUUUCAGGCUUAAAGCAUUUAGGGAGGUCAUACAUGAAUCAUUUUUUAAGUUUCUGUUGUGUUUAGUGGUCUAGUUUAUGGAAAAGUCUCUUCUUG